UUUCCGUAGGUGAACCUGCGGAAGGAUCAUUAUUGAGCUUAUUCAUACACGUGAACGAAUUAUGCUUGGCUUCUGCGCGCUUCUUGCGCUGCUUACCCCGAUAUUAUCGCAUAUAAUUGUCUGAUAGAACAAAGAAAUUUUAAAACUUUCAACAACGGAUCUCUUGGUUCUC
This 172-nucleotide unclassified non-coding RNA is filed under the name plant metagenome. RNAcentral's name for it is "partial contains small subunit ribosomal RNA, internal transcribed spacer 1, and 5.8S ribosomal RNA". The record is from RNAcentral.